UACGGAGGAUUCUAGCGUUGUCCGGAUUUAUUGGGUUUAAAGGGUGCGUAGGCGGAUGACUAAGUCAGGGGUGAAAGCCGGCAGCUUAACUGUCGAAAUGCCUUUGAAACUGGUCAUCUUGAAUAUAGUUGAGGUAGGCGGAAUGUGACAUGUAGCGGUGAAAUGCUUAGAUAUGUUACAGAACACCGAUUGCGAAGGCAGCUUACUAAACUAUCAUUGACGCUGAGGCACGAAAGCGUGGGGAUCAAACAGG
Molecule: ribosomal RNA, 253 nt
Filed under: uncultured bacterium
Lineage: Bacteria
Description: partial 16S ribosomal RNA
Rfam family: Bacterial small subunit ribosomal RNA
Source: RNAcentral